UUUUGGUGGUGGGAACAACAGCUAGGAAACGGCUGCUAAUACCGCAUGUGAUUGCGCGCUCAUGGCGCGUAAGGAAAGACGCUUCACGGCGUCGCCAUAAGAUGGGCCCGCCCCCCAUUAGCUAGUUGGUGAGAUAACAGCCCACCAAGGCUUCGAUGGGUAGCCGAGCUGAGAGGUUGAUCGGCCACACUGGAACUGAGAUACGGUCCAGACACCUACGGGUGGCAGCAGUAGGGAAUAUUGCGCAAUGGGCGAAAGCCUGACGCAGCGAUGCCGCGUGAGUGAAGAAGGCCCUAGGGUCGUAAAGCUCUUUUCUGAGGGAAGAAUGGUCCGGGUAGGAAAUGAUCUGGAUUUGACGGUACCUCAGGAAUAAGGAACGGCUAACUCCGUG
Molecule: ribosomal RNA, 391 nt
Filed under: uncultured bacterium
Lineage: Bacteria
Description: bacterial SSU rRNA
Rfam family: Bacterial small subunit ribosomal RNA
Source: RNAcentral